AUUUGGAGAGGAUGCUUUUGGCGCGGCGCCGUCCGAGUUCCUUGGAACAGGACGCCACAGAGGGUGAGAGCCCCGUACGGACGGACGCCUAGCCUUUACAAAGCUCCUUCGACGAGUCGAGUAGUUUGGGAAUGCUGCUCAAAAUGGGAGGUAAAUUUCUUCUAAAGCUAAAUACCGGCCAGAGACCGAUAGCGCACAAGUAGAGUGAUCGAAAGAUGAAAAGCACUUUGAAAAGAGGGUUAAAAAGUACGUGAAAUUGUUGAAAGGGAAGCGCCUGUGACCAGACUUGCGCCCCGCGGACCACCCGGCGUUCUCGCCGGUGCACUCCGCGGGGCGCAGGCCAGCAUCGGUUCUCCUAGGGGGACAAAGGCCGCGGGAACGUAGCUCCUUCGGGAGUGUUAUAGCCCGUGGCGGCAUGCCCCUGGGGGGACCGAGGACCGCGCUUCGGCAAGGAUGCUGGCGUAAUGGUCACCAGCGACCCGUCUUGAAACACGGACCAAGGAGUCAAGCAUUGGGGCGAGUGUAUGGGUGCCAAACCCGCACGCGAAAUGAAAGUAAACGCAGGUGAGAGCUUCGGCGCAUCAUCGACCGAUCCUGAUGUCUUCGGAUGGAUUUGAGUAAGAGCCUUACCGCUUGGACCCGAAAGAUGGUGAACUAUGCCUGAAUAGGGUGAAGCCAGAGGAAACUCUGGUGGAGG
Molecule: ribosomal RNA, 697 nt
Filed under: Sporothrix dentifunda
Lineage: Eukaryota; Fungi; Ascomycota; Sordariomycetes; Ophiostomatales; Ophiostomataceae
Description: eukaryotic LSU rRNA
Rfam family: Eukaryotic large subunit ribosomal RNA
Source: RNAcentral